Molecule: ribosomal RNA, 3195 nt
Filed under: Triticum aestivum (bread wheat)
Lineage: Eukaryota; Viridiplantae; Streptophyta; Magnoliopsida; Poales; Poaceae
Description: partial small subunit ribosomal RNA
Source: RNAcentral
AUGCAGAAGCAGCAGCUCCGUUCCUCAUGCAAGGAGUGCAGCAACGGAUUCUCCAUGCGUCUCCUUGGCUAUGCUGCUCUUGUGGUGGUGGUGCUGCUGCUGUCCAUGGCCUCUACAGCCAGUUCUUGCACGGAGGGGGAGAAGGGCUCCCUCCUGCAGUUCCUGGCUGGGCUAUCGCGGGACGGCGGCCUUGCAGCGUCAUGGAAGCGGGACAGCACCGACUGCUGCGUGUGGGAAGGGAUCGCCUGUGGUGCGGAUGGGUCAGUGACAGACGUCUCGCUGGCUUCGAGGGGCCUUGAGGGGCGCGUAUCGCCGUCGCUGGGCAACCUCACCGGGCUGCUGCGCCUCAACCUGUCCCACAACUCGCUGUCGGGUGGCCUGCCGCUGGAGCUCGUGUCGUCCAGUAGCAUCAUCGUCCUUGAUGUCAGCUUCAACCGCCUCAGAGGAGACAUGCAAGAGCUGCCAUCUUCAACCCCUGCACAGCCUCUGCAGGUAUUGAACAUCUCGAGCAACUUGUUCACAGGAGGGUUUCCAUCGACGUGGCUAGUGAUGAACAACCUGGUCGCGCUCAACGCCAGCAACAACAGCUUCAGUGGGCAAAUACCGAGUCAUUUCUGCAGCAGCUCGUCAUUGUUAGCUGUGGUUGAGCUCUGUUACAACCAAUUUACAGGCAGCAUCCCUCCAGGACUUGGCAACUGCUCCAUGCUCAGAGUGCUCAAGGCUGGUCACAACAACCUCAGGGGGGCUCUCCCCAAUGAACUCUUUGAUGCUUCCCUACUGGAGUACCUCUCGCUUCCGGACAAUAAUUUAGAUGGAAAGCUCGAUGGCGCACAGAUAAUCAAGCUCAGAAAUCUGGCUAACCUAAAUCUUGGAGGAAACAAUUUCAGCGGCAAGAUUCCAGACUCAAUAGGCCAGCUCAAGAAAUUAGAAGAAUUGCAUCUGGACCACAACAUGAUGUCAGGGCAGCUGCCGUCAGCUCUGAGCAACUGCACAAAUCUCAUAACAGUUGACCUCAAGAGCAACCACUUCAACGGAGUACUUUCCAAGGUCAACUUCUCAAGCCUGCUCAAUCUGAAGAAUUUAGAUCUUCUGUACAACAACUUCACCGGCACAAUUCCAGAAAGCAUAUACUCUUGCAGCAAGCUGGCUGCACUGCGGAUAUCUGGCAACAACUUGCAUGGGCAGCUUUCACCAAGAAUAGCCAGUUUGAAAUCCCUUACUUUCCUAUCACUUGGUUUCAACAAUUUUACAAAUAUCACAAACACACUCCGGAUACUCAAGAAUUGUAGGAACCUCACUUCCCUACUUAUCGGGGGGACCAACUUCAAGAGUGAGUCCAUGCCAGAAUAUGAAAUAGUUGAUGGUUUUCAGAAUCUUCAGGUUCUUUCAAUAGCUAGUUCCUCAUUGUCUGGAAACAUACCCCUUUGGCUAUCAAAGCUGGCAAAGCUGGAGAUGUUAUUUUUGCAAGAUAACCAACUCAGUGGGCCAAUACCAGGCUGGAUCAAAAGCCUAAAGUUACUGUUCCAUCUAGAUAUAUCAAAUAAUAACAUUACAGGUGAAAUUCCAACAGCCUUAAUGGAGAUGCCAAUGCUAAAUUCAGAUAAGAUUGCGCCCCGUUUGGACCCAAGAGCCUUUGAACUUCCUGUCUAUGCAACUCCAUCACGUCAAUAUCGGAUAACCAGUGCUUUCCCAAAAGUAUUGAAUCUAGGAAAUAAUAAGUUCACCGGUGUGAUCCCUGAGGAGAUUGGUCAGUUGAACUCGCUUGUUAUACUGAACUUCAGUUCAAAUAGCUUAUCAGGAGAGAUACCACGGCAGCUCUGCAACCUGAUAAAUCUGCGGGUGCUGGACUUAUCUAGCAAUCAUCUCACAGGUAUAAUCCCAUCGGCAAUGAAGAACCUGCACUUCCUUUCAGCAUUCAACAUUUCCCACAAUGACCUCGAAGGAAAAAUUCCAGAUGGAGUCCAGCUAAGUACAUUCUCAAAUUCUAGCUUUGAGGGGAAUCCAAAGUUGUGUGGCCAUAUUCUUCAUCGCAGUUGUGAUUCAACUGAAGGACCUUCGGGCUUCAGAAAACACUGGAGCAAGAAAUCCAUUAUGGAAAUUACAUUCGGUGUGUUCUUUGGAGGAACUGCUAUUCUUUUUGUGCUUGGGGGUCUCCUUGCAACAUUCAAGCAUACCAGUUUCAUAACCAAAAACAGGAUCAGCAAUAACGGAGAUGUGGAAGCUAUUUCAAUCGAGAUUGAUUCAGAAGAAUCAUUAGUGAUAGUGCCACGAGGAAAGGGAGAAGAAAGUAACCUCACAUUCGCUGACAUUGUGAAGGCUACAAAUAACUUUCACCAGGAGAACAUCAUCGGGUGCGGAGGUUAUGGACUGGUCUAUAAGGCUGAUUUACCUGAUGGCCUCAAACUGGCUAUCAAGAAGCUUAAUGAUGACAUGUGUCUGAUGAACAGAGAAUUCACUGCAGAGGUUGAUGCACUCUCAAUGGCACAGCACGACAACCUUGUACCGCUCUGGGGUUAUGGCAUACAGGGAGAUUCAAGAUUCCUCAUAUAUCCCUACAUGGAGAAUGGCAGCCUGGACGACUGGCUUCACAAUGGGGAUGGUGGUGCAAGUUCAUUUCUUGACUGGCCAACACGGCUGAAGAUCGCACAAGGAGCAAGCCAGGGCCUUUCUUAUAUCCAUGGUGUCUGCAAGCCUCACAUUGUCCACCGUGACAUAAAGUCCAGCAACAUCCUGCUUGACAAAGAAUUCAAAGCUUAUAUUGCAGAUUUUGGGCUCUCCAGGUUGAUUGACAGUCAAACCCAUUUCACAACUGAGCUAGUUGGCACUCCGGGCUACAUCCCACCUGAGUACGGACAAGGAUGGGUUGCUACACUGAGAGGUGACAUGUACAGUUUUGGCAUGGUCCUACUUGAGCUGCUCACUGGAAGGCGGCCUGUCCUGGUCUUGUCUUCAUCAAAAGAACUAGUGAACUGGGUACAGGAGAUGAAAUCAGAAGGGAGGCAGCUUGAGGUCCUGGAUCCUACACUCCGGGGCACAGGGUAUGAAGAGCAGAUGUUGAAGGUGCUCGAAGCCGCUUGCAAGUGUGUACACUAUAAUCCUUUCGUGAGGCCAACCAUACAGGAGAUAGUCUCCUUCCUUGAAAGUAUAGACGCCAAGCUGCAGACACGAAAUUCAGUUAAGAUAGAAAGUGGUUAG